RNAcentral lists this ribosomal RNA (292 nucleotides) under uncultured ammonia-oxidizing bacterium MPN20-AG-FT-C3. RNAcentral's name for it is "partial 16S ribosomal RNA". It matches the Rfam family "Bacterial small subunit ribosomal RNA", at positions 207 to 490 of the family's 1533-position model. The record is from RNAcentral. Lineage: Bacteria; Pseudomonadati; Pseudomonadota; Betaproteobacteria; Nitrosomonadales; Nitrosomonadaceae.
CAAGACCUUGCGCUUUUGGAGCGGCCGAUGUCUGAUUAGCUAGUUGGUGAGGUAAAGGCUUACCAAGGCUUCGAUCAGUAGCUGGUCUGAGAGGACGACCAGCCACACUGGGACUGAGACACGGCCCAGACUCCUACGGGAGGCAGCAGUGGGGAAUUUUGGACAAUGGGGGAAACCCUGAUCCAGCCAUGCCGCGUGAGUGAAGAAGGCCUUCGGGUUGUAAAGCUCUUUCAGCCGGAACGAAACGGUCACGGUUAAUACCCGUGAUCACUGACGGUACCGGAAGAANAAG